UAUACGUCACAGGGGAGCGCGAAAACGCGCUGAGAGUGCGGAAACCCGCAGACCCUCACACCUGAUCCGGAUCAUGCCGGCGUAGGAAGAUGAGUACCUCUCCUUG
Arcanobacterium haemolyticum DSM 20595 is the source of this 106-nucleotide regulatory RNA element. It matches the Rfam family "TPP riboswitch aptamer (THI element)". From Rfam's summary of the family: Vitamin B(1) in its active form thiamin pyrophosphate (TPP) is an essential coenzyme that is synthesised by coupling of pyrimidine and thiazole moieties in bacteria. The previously detected thiamin-regulatory element, thi box was extended, resulting in a new, highly conserved RNA secondary structure, the THI element, which is widely distributed in eubacteria and also occurs in some archaea. The record is from Rfam. Lineage: Bacteria; Bacillati; Actinomycetota; Actinomycetes; Actinomycetales; Actinomycetaceae.